RNAcentral lists this ribosomal RNA (303 nucleotides) under uncultured bacterium. Its description in RNAcentral is "partial 16S ribosomal RNA". It matches the Rfam family "Bacterial small subunit ribosomal RNA", at positions 507 to 807 of the family's 1533-position model. The record is from RNAcentral.
AGCAGUCGCCGCGGGAAUACGUAGGGUGCGAGCGUUAAUCGGAAUUACUGGGCGUAAAGCGUACGCAGGCGGUUUGUUAAGUCAGAUGUGAAAUCCCCGAGCUUAACUCGGGAACUGCAUUUGAAACUGGCAGGCUAGAGUCUCGUAGAGGGGGGUAGAAUUCCAGGUGUAGCGGUGAAAUGCGUAGAGAUCUGGAGGAAUACCGGUGGCGAAGGCGGCCCCCUGGACAAAGACUGACGCUCAGGUGCGAAAGCGUGGGGAGCAAACAGGAUUAGAUACCCCGGUAGUCCCUGUCUCUUAUAC